UACUAGACACGUGGAAACCAGACACGACAGA
This 31-nucleotide non-coding RNA is filed under the name Mus musculus (house mouse). Lineage: Eukaryota; Metazoa; Chordata; Mammalia; Rodentia; Muridae. The record is from RNAcentral.